This 253-nucleotide ribosomal RNA is filed under the name uncultured bacterium. Its description in RNAcentral is "partial 16S ribosomal RNA". It matches the Rfam family "Bacterial small subunit ribosomal RNA", at positions 524 to 776 of the family's 1533-position model. The record is from RNAcentral.
UACGAAGGGGGCUAGCGUUGUUCGGAUUUACUGGGCGUAAAGCGCACGUAGGCGGAUUGUUAAGUCAGGGGUGAAAUCCUGGAGCUCAACUCCAGAACUGCCUUUGAUACUGGCAAUCUAGAGUCCGGAAGAGGUGAGUGGAACUCCUAGUGUAGAGGUGGAAUUCGUAGAUAUUAGGAAGAACACCAGUGGCGAAGGCGGCUCACUGGGCCGGGACUGACGCUGAGGUGCGAAAGCGUGGGGAGCAAACAGG